GCCUACGGGGGGCAGCAGUGGGGAAUAUUGGACAAUGGGGGGAACCCUGAUCCAGCGACGCCGCGUGAGUGAAGAAGUAUUUCGGUAUGUAAAGCUCUAUCAGCAGGGAAGAAAAUGACGGUACCUGACUAAGAAGCCCCGGCUAACUACGUGCCAGCAGCCGCGGUAAUACGUAGGGGGCAAGCGUUAUCCGGAUUUACUGGGUGUAAAGGGAGCGUAGGCGGCCUGGCAAGCCUGAUGUGAAAUACCGGGGCCCAACCCCGGGGCUGCAUUGGGAACUGCCAGGCUGGAGUGCCGGAGAGGCA
This 305-nucleotide ribosomal RNA is filed under the name uncultured bacterium. RNAcentral's name for it is "bacterial SSU rRNA". It matches the Rfam family "Bacterial small subunit ribosomal RNA", at positions 337 to 659 of the family's 1533-position model. The record is from RNAcentral.